This 253-nucleotide ribosomal RNA is filed under the name uncultured bacterium. RNAcentral's name for it is "partial 16S ribosomal RNA". It matches the Rfam family "Bacterial small subunit ribosomal RNA", at positions 524 to 776 of the family's 1533-position model. The record is from RNAcentral.
CACGUAGGGGGCAAGCGUUGUCCGGAUUUAUUGGGCGUAAAGAGCGUGUAGGCGGCCAGGUAGGUCUGCUGUGAAAACUCGAGGCUCAACCUCGAGACGUCGGCGGAAACCAUCUGGCUAGAGUCCGGAAGAGGAGAGUGGAAUUCCUGGUGUAGCGGUGAAAUGCGCAGAUAUCAGGAAGAACACCCGUGGCGAAGGCGGCUCUCUGGGACGGUACUGACGCUGAGACGCGAAAGCGUGGGGAGCGAACAGG